Molecule: long non-coding RNA, 3151 nt
Organism: Spinacia oleracea (spinach)
Lineage: Eukaryota; Viridiplantae; Streptophyta; Magnoliopsida; Caryophyllales; Amaranthaceae
Exons: 4
Source: RefSeq, a predicted model, not a curated record
UUUUGAGAUCAAUAAGAUUUGGCGGUUAGUUUUUCUCUCUCAUUUUACUCGGUACAAAGAAUCCAAAAUUCACAUUCUCUUCCCCUGCAUUUUUUAAUCAACCAGCAAAAAUGAGCGACGCGGACAGGGGCGCAUCAGUUCCGACGGGAUGCUUCAAGUGUGGCUUCCCUGGACACUGGUCUUACAAUUGUCCAUCAAACCCUAACUCCAAUCGUAAUUCUACCUUAACUUCUGAAUAUGCAUACCCCAAAUCCUCCAACAAUUUGUCCGACAAUGAAGGUGAUAGAGGCGGAAGUACCUUCCAAUUGAAGCCCAUUGGUUCUGCUUCGAAGCCAAAGACGGGGCCUCGAACUCGGUCAAAGCUUACUCCGGAGUUACUGAUCUCCGAUCAAGGUCUUGGUUUGCAAUUAUUCAAAUCAGUCUAAGGACAUGAAUUUAUGAGGUAAUCUGGCAUUUGAACCAUUACCUUGCCAGGAAAUUACAUUGACAUUGACUGUGGAUAUCAUGUGAUGAGAUUCAUUAAGGAGAUAAUCUCACACAAGCGACUUCAAAUUCCUGAAGUUGUAAGUCUUCUAAUCUUAAUCUCUGGAGUUAAUGUUAAUUAAAUAUGUUUAAUUACCAAUAUGCAAUUCUUGUUGAAAAUGGUACUCAUGGUUAGGUGGUCUUGCAGUUAUGAGUAUGAACUGAUUUCCUAGCCUUUCCAUUUGCAAAUAUUGAUGUGACUCAGGGCUAGGGUGCCAUUAUGUCCCUUGGUUCAUCGGCGAUUAGAUAGCAGGUAAGCUCAGUCUUCGUGUACAACAGUUAGAUGUACGCCGUGAGACGAAGACCAAGGUCGGUCUCCCUACGUCUUUCUAAAUUAAUGUUGUCAGCUAUCUUAGUUUUACUGAAGCUUUAUAUUUACAUGGUAAUAUAAUUAUAUUGUUAUACUUAGUAUUUUUAGACAAUGACUAUGUGUAGGACAAUGUGUUUGUCAUUGAUACUGCAGAAAGAAAAGUACAUUAAGUGAACCAAAAAUUACAGAACUAUACAUUAUGUAGUGUGAUGUGAUUGUCUACUCAGUACUCAUUUUAAUAUUGUCUAAUCUAGCAUGCAUCUAGAUUAAACCACUAGUAGCCUAGUAGGUCUGCCUAAGUGAUUGAUGCACAACGGAAAAUCUGAUAGAUAGCCAUAGUUCAUCCCAAAGAGGUGCAGGAUAAUUAAAGUAAAACCUAACGUUGAUCCCAGAGAGGUUACUCUGUAAUUCUUUUGAGUCACUUUUUUCUUACACCAGCUCUAUGUAAGUUGCAUUAUUAGUUCCAUUGUUAAUAUGUUGGUUGGUGAACAUUGCAGCCCAUUGUAGAGGGAAGCCAUUUAUAGAGUUCAGUGAAUUUUACAUUAUGUGAAUUAUUUUUAAGCACUUACAGAGAUUUACAUUGGCUAAUUAUGUAAGCUGUUAGUUUUUUGUUGGCAUCAGGUGUUCAAGAAGUUGGUUCGUCGUAGAAUUUUUUAUCAUUCUUAUUCCAUGUAAGUUCAUGGUUAGUCUCUUCUACAACAAGGUAGUGAUAAUGGCUCCGAGUUUACACUAGUUCAUGGUGUAGGUUCCUUUCUGUUUAUGUUUUUCUUCCGCUCUCUGAAUUUUAGAGUCCUAACAAUUUGCCUCACUUUAAAAUUCACGCAAUUGCUUAUUUUAAUGUAGUAUCAUAGGGGUUUUCACUAAGGCACUGCCUCAGCAACAGGAUGGUUACUAACCUUACAAGCUACCAUGGCUCUUGAUGAGGAGCCUGUUCGAAAAGUGAGGGAUGUCAGUAUUGGAUGUCCAAGCUGUUUCCAAGAAAUUUCGUCUGGUUCGAUUACUUAUGAGGGUCUCUUGAUAGGAGUAUGAUUAUCAUAAAUAUUACGAGUAUUAGUCUACCCACGUCUUAUGUAUGUGUACUUUCUUGGAAGGUUUUGCGUAGCUUUUAAUGUGUGUAAUAUUAUUUAGAACACAAAAUCUUAUUUACAAAGGGUGUACAGUAAUUUAUUGUACACCAAGCCCAUUUUAGACAAACCCACUUAGCUAACACGUGUGAAAUCAAGGGUAUACUGUGAAGUAACUCUCAUUUGCUCUAUCUCUCUCCUCUCAAGCGUUCUUCUCUCUCUUCCCUUUCUUCUCUGGCGGCGAUUUUUCUGGCUGCGAUUUCUCUUGCCAUUUCUUCCACCUUUUGCUGCUAGUCUCUUCUGCCUCAAUCGAUCUACGAAUAUCUCUGCUGCGACUUUGCUGCGUUCUCCUCCAUUGUUAUUCAAGGGAAACCUAUUAUUCAGGGGAAUACAAAAAAUUGAUCCCAAAUGCUCAAAGCCUUGAAGAUAAUGAGAGUCAGUUUAUGACUCUAGCUGCCAAAGGAGAUUUGCCCAACAAAUUGGACUGAAUACACAGUGCAGGCUGGUCUUCCCCUUCUGGAGCCAUAACACUCACAACUGGCUCGCUACAGGAGAAAUAGUGAUUCCCUUAACUUAGUAUAGUAGGUUCGCUACUGAAAUUCCAAAAUUUGCAAUGACAUAUGUAGCUGAAUACACCAUUGGACGAAAUUGACAUGAGUUGCUUACCAGAAGCAACUGAUAAGGGUAAGCAACAAACUAUACCAGGGUAAGCAACAAACUAUAACAGGGUAAGCAACAAACUAUACCAGAAGCAACUGAGUCCCAUACCAGAAGCAAAAAACCAGCAAAUGAUAAGGAAACAAGAGCUCACAACGAGGAUGCAGGAGAUGGAGCCAGAGAAUAGGUAUGGCGAGAGAUUCCGCGACAGCUAAUCGGAGAAGACGAGGUGAAGUUGGCGGAUAACAGAGGUUGUGACGGCGAAUAGAGUUGCCAGAGAGAGGGAGGAAGUAGUGGAGGAGAGAGAAUCGAAGCAGAGUGAAGAGGAGGAGUGAGAUGCUCCGCCAUUUUUGUGUCUGGGGGUGAUGGGAGGAGAGAGAAAGGGAGGAGGUUGGUAAGUGGUAAGCAUUUGGUCUGACAUAUCCGCGGCUAGCUUCGCACGUGUGAAAUAUUAGUGCACGUUAAUAUUAACGUACACCUGUUGCACGCAAGACCGAUUGAUAGAAUAUAUCUAUGUAAUCAGUUGUAUUAUGGAGGCAAUUACAAAAUUCUUUUCAUCGAGGUUUAAUAAUAUAAAACUAUUUAUUAUACUUUUUAA